Molecule: long non-coding RNA, 492 nt
Filed under: Bos taurus (domestic cattle)
Lineage: Eukaryota; Metazoa; Chordata; Mammalia; Artiodactyla; Bovidae
Description: long non-coding RNA NONBTAT019696
Source: RNAcentral
GUCAAACUAAGGAAAAUUCAUUCUCUUACAAUUCUUUAAGCCUAUUAAAAAUAAGAUUUUUUAUGUUUGUGAAUUUAACAUUUCAUUACUUCCUAAACUACUCAGAGUUAAAUAAAACUAAAAAUGUCAAGAAAGGCUGAAUACAAUUUGUUAUAAGUUCCAUACAUUCUGUUUCUUUUUUAAAAAAAGAUUAUCAAGUAGGCAGUUACACUAUAAAAAUAUUCAUUUUUUCCAACCUGCCCUUUGAUGAGCACCAUAUUAACUAUUUAUAGAAUAUAAAUGGUAUUUUUAAUGCAAUCCUUAUAACGCUAUACUUAUCCAAGCUACAGAAGACUAGAGAAAUAGAAACCAUGUUAGCAUGUGAUUCGGCAGUUGUGCUUUCCAAUAUUGGCCAGAAGCUAAACAGUUAAAAUGUGAAAGAGGGCCACAGGUGCCAGGAGAGGACCUUUAAGGGGCCUGAGUGUCAGUGGAUUGAAAAGCAGAUGGACUCUG